Molecule: long non-coding RNA, 1567 nt
Filed under: Daucus carota (carrot)
Lineage: Eukaryota; Viridiplantae; Streptophyta; Magnoliopsida; Apiales; Apiaceae
Description: long non-coding RNA (DCAR_LNC004315)
Source: RNAcentral
UAAGUGAAAAAUAUCAAGCAAAGAAUUAGAAAACAUACAUAUAUAACUAAUUGUGUAUAUACAUAGAGAAAAGUAAAUAAAAAAAUGAAAAUGAUGGUACGGAGAAGGUGUACACAUAAGCAAAACAUUACAAAGUAAAAGUAUCAUAACAAGUGAAUAAUAACGAGUUUGUCUACACAUCAUGCAUCUAUAAUAACAAUAACCACGCAAGAGAUCGUAACAAACUACGGUUAUACUUGUAAACCUUUAUCCACUGCAUCAAACUAGGUCAUAUAUGGAAUGGAGACAAGUUGGAAACAACUUGUAGCUUCAUUCCAGACUCGUUUGAUGUUAAAUAAAACAUGUAGCUUCAUUCCAGACUCGUUUGAUGUUAAAUAAAACAUGUAGCUUCAUUUUCGGUUGUUUGAAAUUGGAAUCAACUUGUAGUUUCAUUCUUGGCUCGUUAGAGCCCGGAAACAAGUUGUAGCUUAAUUUUGACUACAUUGAAGUUGGAAACAACUUGUAGCUUCAUUCCAGACUCGUUUAAAGUUGAAAAAAACAUGUAGCUUCAUUUUCGGUUGUUAGAAAUUGGAAUCAACUUGUAGUUUGAUGUUAAAUAAAACAUGUAGCUUCAUUUUCGGUUAUUAGAAAUUGGAAUCAACUUGUAGUUUUAUUCUUGGCUCGUUUGAGCUCGGAAACAUCUUGUAGCUUCAUUCCAAACUCGUUUGAAGUUGCAAACAACAUGUAGCUUCAUUUUCGGUUAUUAGAAAUUGGAAUCAACUUGUAGUUUUAUUCUUGGCUCGUUUGAGCCCGGAAACAACUUGUAGCUUCAUUCCAGGCUCGUUUUGGAAUGGAGACAGCAUCUCCAAGAGACUCUUAAAUGAGCUCUUAAAUUGAAAUUUGAGGAGGGAGAAAGAAUUUGUUGCUCCGAGAGACUCUUAGUAGCUCUUAAAAUCACUAAGAACCUCUUGUUUCUCUCUCCUCUCUCCUCAAAGUUAAGAGCCACUGCAUAGCUCUUAACUUAUUUUUUUAAAUAAAAUAUUCAUUCCCUCCAAUUGCAUUUGAAUUUUUGUAAUAUAUAAGUCUAAACAAGAAUAAAAUAUAAACUUAAGAGCAAGUAUAAAAAACAUUGUUGGAGUUGAGGCUCUUGAANAACUUGUAGCUUCAUUAUUGACUAGAUUGAACUAGCAAGUAUAAAAAACAUUGUUGGAGUUGAGGCUCUUGAAUUUGUAUUAACUUACUAGGAGUCUAAUAUUUUAUAUUAUAUUUAAGAGUUAACUAAGAGGCUGUUGGAGAUGCUCUUAUAAACUAGAAGACCAGAACACCUGGGCGUAUAAUUUUCCGGAAAGGGAACAUACAAUUUAGGGACAAUUGGUAAAAUAUACUGGAAAACCAUCGGCAAGAUUCUUCUUGCAAAGAUAAGAUCCUUCAAAGUAUCAAAGAAGAGCACACUUCACCUAUAUUUCCUUGUUUAUUUAUGCAUCCAUUAUAUUACAUCCUGUACAUUAGCAGUAUGCUGGCUUGAAUUUUGCAAUUUAUUGUACUGGUGUUACAAUAUGAUUAUAUAGGUCAAAAGGCUUCGUUUUUU